CGAGGAGCUUCGCGCAGGCUCAGAAUCGCUCAGCUGGUUGACGUUAUCCAGGAGAAUCGCGUUGGACUCAGGGAAGACCUGCACAGGAUCCGGUUGUUGCUGGGAGGCAGAGGUUGCGGUGAGCUGAGAUCACACCAUUGCACUCCAGCCUGGGCAACAAGAGUGAGACUCCAUCUCAAAAAUAAAAAAGAUGGAAGCAUGUAUUUGUAUUUUGAGCAUCAAUAACUAGCACACAGCAAGAAGGAGGCCAUCAGCAAACUGGGAAGAGGACCCUCACCAGGAACCACAUCUGCCAGCACCUUGAUCUUGAACUUCUCAGCCUCCAGAACGGUAAAUCAGACACCGCCUAUUCACCAGCUCAUCUAUAAAACCCCCUGCAUUUCACCGCAGAACUGGAACCUAUUUUACCAGGACCCCUCUCUGCAGCAGAGAGCUCUUCUCUUUCUUUCGCCUAUUAAACUUCCACUCUUAACCUCAUUAUUUGUGUGUCCUUGUUCUUGUUCUCCAUGGCCGUGGGACAACGAACCUUGAGUGUUACUCCAGAAAAC
This 548-nucleotide long non-coding RNA is filed under the name Homo sapiens (human). RNAcentral's name for it is "HSALNT0382645". Lineage: Eukaryota; Metazoa; Chordata; Mammalia; Primates; Hominidae. The record is from RNAcentral.